Molecule: ribosomal RNA, 468 nt
Filed under: uncultured bacterium
Lineage: Bacteria
Description: partial 16S ribosomal RNA
Rfam family: Bacterial small subunit ribosomal RNA
Source: RNAcentral
GACGAACGCUGGCGGCGUGCUUAACACAUGCAAGUCGAACGGAAAGGCCCUGCCUUUGUGGGGUGCUCGAGUGGCGACCGGGUGAGCAACCCGUGAGUUACCUGUCCCUGACUUUGGGAUAACCUCAGGAAACUGGGGCUCAUCCCGGCUAGGAGUUACCGCUGUUUGGUGGGGGUUGGUAAGUUUCGGUGGUUGGGGAUGGAAUAGCGGCUCAUCAGCUUGUUGGUGGGGUAGUGGAUUAGCAAGGCUUUGAAGGGUAGCCGGGCUGGGAGGGUGACAGGCUACGUUGGGCCUGAGAUACGACCCAGACUCGAACGGGAGGCAGCGGAGGGGAGGAUAGCACAAUAGGCGGGGCCCUGAUGCAGCAACGCCGCGUGCGGGAUGACGGCCUUCGGGUUGUAAAGCACUUUCGCCUGUGACGAAACGUGAAUGACGGUAAUGGGUAAAGAAGCACCGGCUAACUACGUG